UGUGUAGGCGGUUCUCUAAGUUCCGUGUGAAAUCUCCCGGCUUAACUGGGAGGGUGCGCGGAAAACUGGAGGGCUCGAGUAUGGGAGAGGAAAGCGGAAUUCCUGGUGUAGCGGUGAAAUGCGUAGAUAUCAGGAGGAACACCUGCGGUGUAGACAGCUUUCUGGACCAUCACUGACGCUGAGACACGAAAGCGUGGGUAGCAAACAGGAUUAGAUACCCUGGUAGUCCACGCCCUAAACGAUGCAUACUUGGUGUGAGCCGUUCAUUCGGUUCGUGCCGGAGCUAACGCGUUAAGUAUGCCGCCUGGGGAGUACGGUCGCAAGGCUGAA
RNAcentral lists this ribosomal RNA (330 nucleotides) under uncultured bacterium. RNAcentral describes it as "bacterial SSU rRNA". It matches the Rfam family "Bacterial small subunit ribosomal RNA", at positions 568 to 898 of the family's 1533-position model. The record is from RNAcentral.